UGAGGAUGUUCGGGAUGUUGAGGAGCUGCAGGUUGUAGAUGCUUUUAGACAGGCACUCAUUGCGGAUGACUUGCUUCCUGCAAGACAUGAUGAUUAUCACAUGUUGCUGAGGUUCUUAAAAGCAAGGAAGUUUGACAUUGAGAAAGCAAAGCAAAUGUGGGCCAAUAUGAUUCAGUGGAGGAAAGACUUCGGCACUGACACAAUUAUGGAGGAUUUUGAGUUUAAUGAGUUGAAUGAAGUUCUCAAGUACUAUCCCCAGGGUUACCAUGGUGUAGAUAAAGAGGGUAGGCCUGUCUACAUUGAAAGGCUAGGGAAAGUUGAUCCCAGCAAACUUGUGCAAGUGACCACUAUAGAACGAUAUUUGAAAUAUCAUGUGCAGGAGUUUGAAAAGAGUUUUGUAAUUAAGUUUCCUGCUUGCUCUAUUGCUGCAAAAAGACACAUAGAUUCAAGUACAACUAUUUUGGAUGUGCAAGGAGUGGGUUUGAAAAACUUUACCAAGUCUGCACGAGAACUCAUCAUACGUCUACAAAAGAUUGAUAGUGACAACUACCCUGAGACACUUUGCCGAAUGUUUAUAAUUAAUGCUGGUCCUGGUUUUAAGUUGCUCUGGAACACAGUGAGAUCUUUUCUUGAUUCUCAAACAGCCAGCAAGAUUCAUGUUUUUGGCAAUAAGUUCCAGAACAAAUUACUUGAAAUAAUAGAUGAAAGUGAGUUGCCCGAAUUUCUGGGUGGGAGCUGUACAUGUGCUGAUCAGGGAGGUUGUAUGAGAUCUGACAAGGGGCCAUGGAAGGAUCCAAACAUUCUAAAGAUGGUUGAGAAUGGUGAAGCACUAUAUUCCAGACAAAUAGUAACAUUUUCAAACAGUGAAUCUGAUAAGCAACGUUAUCCACUGAUAAAAACUGGUGAUACAUCUACCGCAGAGUCAGGAUCUGAAGUGGAAGAUGUUGCAUCUCCUAAACCAACUAGGAGCUAUUUGCUUCCAAGAUUGACUCCUGUCUGUGAAGAAGCUAGGGUGAUUGGUAGGGCAAGUGCUGCUGGAGGCUUCUCAGAAUAUGAUGAAUAUGUACCCAUGAUUGACAAGACUGUAGAUGGUGGAUGCAAGAAACAAGUGCUCUCUCAAGAGCCACAUACGUCCAGAGGUUAUCAAGUUUAACUGCAAUAGGCUCUAAGCAUUAUGCUUUCUUUGUCUUGUCUGAUGAGGGUACCCUUAUCACAAUUGGAUUUAAUUUUAUCUACUUUGAUAUUAUAAUGAUUGGACACUGAAUGGGUUCCAUGAAAUUCAACGUAGGAACACUACCUCCACCAAGUGUAGAAAAAUCUCCAGAAGGAUUAUUUGCUUGUAUUUGGGCUCUGCUCAUGGCGAUCUUCAUAGCAUUCCUCUCUGUCAUCCAUUCAUUUCCAAUUUGGUUGACUAAGAAAAACCCUGAGCCUAAUUCUGUCUGUGAUGCUUCUGAUCCAACUCUUGAACCAAUGCUCAAGGAGGAGUCCCGUCCCCCUUCUCCUGCUCCAGGAUUUACUCAGGCAGGCCUGCUCUCGUCUGUAUUGAAAAGGCUGGGUGAACUUGAAGAGAAGGUUGACAUGCUACAGAUGAAGCCUUUUCAAAUGCCUUAUGAGAAAGAGGAGUUGCUGAAUGCUGCUGUUUGUCGGGUGGAUGCACUAGAAGCUGAGCUAAUUUCUACAAAAAAGGUGAUCAUAUCUCUUAUUCCAUCCUACCCUUCUUGCAGAAACACAGUGAUAUGGUACAAAUUCAUUGGUUUGCUUCCUUUACCUACUUCAAAAGUUAAAUUUUUAAGGUUUCGCACUGGAGAUGCAUCUAUCAUAUGCAUAGAUUCGGACCUCAAUUACUGGGAAGUAUGUUGAGUAACUGUUUCCCUAGGGUGAAAAAUGUGGUUGUAUAUGAUCUCACGAGUGUCAUACUUUAUCAGUAAAAGCUAGGAUAUUACUUGACAUCUUAACUGUGUGCUGUGCCCUGGAAUUCUCUUAAAGCCCUGAAGCAGUGGAAUUUCUACAUCUUCCUUUUUCUCUCUUCCUGUGAAUGUGUGUUAUUGGAAAGCAAAUAAUUCUUGGAUAUUAUACGUUUAUACUAUUUGCAAUUAGUUUAGGCAUUUAGCAGACAACUAUGUAGAAAAGCAACUAACCUCUGGAUAUUAUAUACAUUUAUACUAUCUGCAAUUAGUUUAGGCAUUUAGCAGACAACUAUGUAGAAAAGCAACUAACCUCUGGAUAUUAUAUACAUUUAUACUAUC
RNAcentral lists this unclassified non-coding RNA (2246 nucleotides) under Hevea brasiliensis (rubber tree). The record is from RNAcentral. Lineage: Eukaryota; Viridiplantae; Streptophyta; Magnoliopsida; Malpighiales; Euphorbiaceae.